Molecule: ribosomal RNA, 573 nt
Filed under: Papiliotrema laurentii
Lineage: Eukaryota; Fungi; Basidiomycota; Tremellomycetes; Tremellales; Rhynchogastremaceae
Description: eukaryotic LSU rRNA
Rfam family: Eukaryotic large subunit ribosomal RNA
Source: RNAcentral
UAAGCGGAGGAAAAGAAACUAACAAGGAUUCCCCUAGUAACGGCGAGUGAACCGGGAAGAGCUCAAAUUUGAAAUCUGGCGUCCUCAGGGCGUCCGAGUUGUAAUCUACAGAGGCGUUUUCCGUGCCGGACCGUGUCCAAGUCCCUUGGAACAGGGUAUCAAAGAGGGUGACAAUCCCGUACUUGACACGACUACCGGUGCUCUGUGAUACGUCUUCUACGAGUCGAGUUGUUUGGGAAUGCAGCUCAAAAUGGGUGGUGAGUUCCAUCUAAAGCUAAAUAUUGGCGAGAGACCGAUAGCGAACAAGUACCGUGAGGGAAAGAUGAAAAGCACUUUGGAAAGAGAGUUAAACAGUACGUGAAAUUGUUGAAAGGGAAACGAUUGAAGUCAGUCGUGACCGAGAGGCUCAGCCGGCUCUGCCGGUGUAUUCCCCUCGGUCGGGUCAACAUCAGUUUUGUCCGGUGGAUAAGGGCGGCAGGAAUGUGGCACCCUCGGGUGUGUUAUAGCCUGCUGUCGCAUACACCGGGUGAGACUGAGGAACGCAGCUCGCCUUUAUGGCCGGGGCCCGCCCAC